RNAcentral lists this transfer RNA (76 nucleotides) under Rickettsiales bacterium. RNAcentral describes it as "tRNA-Lys". It matches the Rfam family "tRNA". Rfam says of the family: Transfer RNA (tRNA) molecules are approximately 80 nucleotides in length. Lineage: Bacteria; Pseudomonadati; Pseudomonadota; Alphaproteobacteria; Rickettsiales. The record is from RNAcentral.
GAGCGCGUAGCUCAGUUGGUAGAGCACCUGACUUUUAAUCAGGUUGUCGUGGGUUCGAUUCCCACCGCGCUCACCA